GCCAAAACAUAGCGAUUCAAAUACAUUCACUCAUUGUAAAGAGGCUAAAUGUAAGCUAAAAUCCAAGGGAAAAAAGAUCUCUCUAUUUUGAUGCUACAGCGGUACACAUCAUAGGAGUCACAUUCCCUAGGUGAAGGAGAACUCUACACCAUCUUCAAUCUAAAUACCUUCAGAGAUAAUACUGACAGACAAAUCCAUGGAAAAUCUAGUCUUUCAUCACCGCUCUCAGUCAAACGGAUACCACGUACAAUGCAUGAACACAUAAAGAUAGAGAAUGAUGAUCAAUGUUCCCAGCAUUCCUGGGCAUCAUUGUCGUCAUGCUCCACUGUGAACAUACAGCCAUGCAAUUAAUAACGUCAAACAUGUAUGUCUUAUCUUUUUCACGCCAUGUGUCAGUCAGGUAGCCAUCACAAUGAGGAAUGUUUUACGAUGGGACCUCUGUUUGAUGUACAUCUCAUGC
Sinocyclocheilus anshuiensis is the source of this 460-nucleotide long non-coding RNA. RefSeq lists it as uncharacterized. The record is from RefSeq and is a predicted model, not a curated record. Lineage: Eukaryota; Metazoa; Chordata; Actinopteri; Cypriniformes; Cyprinidae. The transcript has 3 exons.